This is a long non-coding RNA of Gasterosteus aculeatus aculeatus (three-spined stickleback), 13177 nucleotides long. The record is from Ensembl. NCBI's taxonomy places the organism in Eukaryota, Metazoa, Chordata, Actinopteri, Perciformes, Gasterosteidae.
CUAAUCUUAAACACAGGUCUAUUAAUUAGGCUAUAUUGUGGUACAUAGACAGUCAUUGAGGCACAGCAAUAGUUUUCUGGUUGAAUGUUCAGCUCAAGUCUAGAAGGCCCAACAAGUCAUGAGCAGAUGAACAUAAAUCAGAAUAAGUUCAGGCAUACCACCCAAAAAUCCACGAGAAUGCAUGAAAUAACAUCUACUUAAACCAAAAUGUCCUGGGGGUGGACCAUCAGCUAUGUCUUUGCUUCACAGAAUGUAACCAAUGUUGUCCAUCUCCAGUAGGCCGCCCCUAUAAACGACUUUGGGCCCCACAAACCACCAGAAUGCAGGGUACAACAUGGGUACUACGCCAAAUGAAUUCCAAUUUCCUGAUAUUUGAGCCACCAACGUGUGUGGCUGCGUGCGCGGCAAAAUUUUGGUCACCCCCGACAAAAUCUCACUCCAAGGUUUUUUGAAAAGUUGGCAGCUCUGCAAUAUAGAAGAAAGAUUCUUAUUGGCCCUAGACUAGUGUUGAGGAGGAGUAGCACCUCACAGGGCAAAAUACUAGAUCCAAUCACAUACAAUGAAAAACAAAGUUUUUUUAAGUUGUGUGUGUUCGUGUUGUAUGUUGCAGUGUGUCUAACUCUCAAAUCUUCUCAAACGUUUUCUUUCUGGUUGGAACUUCUGCUUGGUUUUCUGACCUUGCAUACCUCAACCAGGAUAAGACGUAGACCUGCAAGUCCCUAAAUGAGCAGUAAGAAAAUGUCCCUCACCCUUGAUCAUUCCCCUAUAGAUGUCCAAAGUCCUAGUUGCCACCAUAGAUUGACAGAUCCCAUACAGGUCCAAUUACAUGAAGACAUUACGGCUAAAGCAGUGAAUGAAUCACUCCUUCAUCUUCCUGAAAAUGCCUCAUGUUGAGAUUAAUCAUGAAUUGCCAAAGCACUGUUACUGUCUGGGCACUUUCCUUUAGUUGCCUGUGAUGAAGUGAACUGAAAUGAAUGAAUUGAAAUGUUUUUGGUGUGCAUUGAAGAGUGUAUGAUUGUGUACGUCGCCCCCUUGUCUGUAGCGAAGGAUGAAAAGUCAAAGGCAGGUCCGCAAUGCAAACUGUCAGCACUAUUUUUACCCUUUGUGUUGGGAUUUUUUACUGAAAAAAGUACCAAUUGUUGAUUGUUGCUGAAAAAGAAAAGACAUCAGCUGAGGUCAGCGUCAUCUAUUGAUAGGGCAGGAGGUUCAUAUCAUGUCCCAGCUGUGACGUAGGAUCAAGAGGGGUCUCUCAUGCCCGGUUUUCUCACCUCCAGCGUAGAAAAUACUGUACUGAGUGUGUGCUGACCCCAUUCAUUCAGGAAGUAUGAGUCUGCUGUUUUGCACCAAGUUGUGUAAGAAUCUCUUCGGCCUAUUCUUGUGGUGACUAAUAAGAGGAAAGUGUUGCUGAGGAGUAAAUAUCCACAGUAACUGCUUCAAUAGAAAUUCAAAAGCUUAUUGUUGAAAUGGAAUAUCUACCGUGCCACAUACUGACAUCAAGCACCUAAUCUGAGCACGGCAACGUGCUGUAUUAGCAGCAUUUUAGUAAAAUGUAUUCUCCAGAUUUUGCUUCUGUACACACCAUUUAGUUUAUGUGCUACUAAAUCUUCUCCAUUCAAAGAUGUAGUGCUGUCAUUCUAAUCAGUCUCUGUAAAAUGGCCAAUUUGGGAUAUUUAAGUGUAAACUAUAAAUCAUGUGUAUCACUGAGCCUGCUACCUAGAAAGUGUGGUUUUGAGAGGUGUAUUUUGUCAGGGACAUCGAAGUCACGCAUUCUGGAAGACGCGAGACCCUGCAAUGUUUUAGAGGCCCGAUUCACGUAGGGAUUUCCCCAAUCUCCACCCGAAGAUUAGUUUUGGUGGAAUGACGCACAGAGCUCUCAUUGGACGAGGACCAUGGACAUGUGGGAUCUCCCCCCGAAUAUACUUGGUGGAAAUAUAAUCACUGAGCCCUAUAAAUCCUAUGAAAUAGAAAUGCCAGGCUAAAACCUGUUCUACAUGAUGCCGGACAAGUUAAAAGAAGCUUAGGCAAAAAUUCAGUCAGGAAGCCUGGACAGGCUGUACCGUUCCCUUGUGGCCUCCUCUCUCCCUGGGGGUGCACGGCCAGCUGAUUAGGGGCGGGGUCGGGUAGUAUCAGACGUGGGUGUCGUUACCGUAAACCAAUCGCAUUGGGGCAGGCAAACGUUAAAAACUGUUCUCCUCUCUUUUGCUGUCAGUUGUCAUCAGUGCUGUAGUGGUAAAUUUAGAGGUGGGUAAACUCACCUCUUUUGUGAUCAUACAGACCUUGACGCGAUGCGAAGCAACGCAACACAAAGCGUCGCGACUCUGUAAGGCUGUCCUGGCUAUAUUGCAUUAUGUUAUCAGUAAAAAUCAUAUACAAUCAAUGACAAUGAAUAAAUGUGUUAGUAGUUUAUUAAAUUUAAGAAAACAGUAAAGAAAAGUAUGUCAACACAACAACACAAUUGCAGAUUAAGAACUAUCUACAUAUGGAGUCUCCUUUUUACAGUAGUGCCCAGAGGGCCUCCUUGUCCUCCACGUCAGGUCCUGCCUUGCACAGAGGAGCCAUGAACCCCAGAACGCGUGUUCUGGGGUUCAUGGCUCCUCUGUGCUUCUCCUCUCUCUAUUGGACCUGGUGUUUCUCCUCUCCCUGUGCUCUCUGCAUCAUUGCCUGUCCUCUCACUGCUGAAAAAAUAUGUUGAAUUUAAGAGUUAACCAGUUAAGCAGCCUGUCAAUUACACUGACAACAUAAGUUAAAGGAACUCUCAUGUACUACCUAAAUCAUCAUAAAUAGCCUACAGCAUGUUUUGUUUUCAUAUUGAGAACAGCUUUGCUCCCCGCUCAUGAUGACAGGGGAGGCAGAGCCUUUGAAAAUUGACUGGAUUUUCUCCUAAUUAUGUGCGCGCGUCACUGGCGGUUUUCUUGUCCUUUCACCGUGCACGACCAGCGAACACAGAGCACGCGACUACUACCCGUCCCCUCCCCCCCCGUCGGACCUUCUCGACCGGUCCGCGAAAUAUUGUCUGACAUGAAACCGGUCCGUGAGGUAAAAAGGUUAGGGACCACUGGGCUGAUCCACAGCGUGUAUGUUUACACACCUCCUGGAUCCUGAUUGGUGUCGCUGCUGCAGCCACAAGGCACUGAUUGGAUGGUCACAGACCGUAAUACAGCGCAGAUGAACAUGAUUCAGACGACGGCGUUUAUAUGUUCAACAAUAGGAAACGUAGUCUUAGCUGUUUUAAAAUUACACCAAGUUUAUUUCGGAUUAUUCCAACAGAAGAAUACAAGGCGCAGGGAACUUUGAGGUGCGUAAACGCAAUUUAUAGGUGCGUAAACGCUAUUUCCAAAAUUCCAGAGGUGCGUAAACGGCGUUUACGUGCGUUUACCCUCCACUACAGCCCUGGUUGUCAUUUCAGCACGCUCCAAAGGUGACCCGCCACCACCCCUGACACCUCCAAUCUACAGCAGAACCUGGCAUAGCAGGAGGGUUAUGCAACUUGAACUCUACCACCACCACCACCAGUGUCUGGACUCCCAAAGGGGGGGGGUAUGCCUCGGCUCGGCACGAGAUCCUGGCCCCGGGUCUAUCCUGCACAACUUGCACAACUCCCAAACAACUUGCAAUAUCAUAUUAUAACUGUUAUAAUAAAGCAUUGUUCAAAUUUCAACAAGUCUCUCCGGAGUGAAAUGUUGAUAUUAUAAAAACAGGGCAUAUUAGAUUACAUUACUCCGUUGUCUUAUGUAUGCUUUUUUUAUAACAAUAUUUUCAUUUACUAAAUGGGACAGACACAUAAUAAAGAGCAAUGUUACAAUAGCCACACUUUCAAAAAGAGCAACCAAAUCAACUAUUUACAUAACUAUUAGAAAACAUCCCUUUAAUUCAUUCCCUUUUAAGUCUUAUUUUUGUUUAUGUCCAUAAUUUUUUCCGUUAUAUAACGUCCAGCCUUUGCCCAUCUAGCCUGCAACUCAGUCUCUUCCGGUUUCUUUGCUGUAGCCACUCCUUGAAGCAGACUGAAAAGAAAUGUAGAUAUUAACUGUAGUGUGUCUGCCAUGUCAGAAAAAAAAAAAAACGUCUGUGGCCUCCAACAAAGACUCUACAGCUCCUACUACACCAAGAAUAACAUACCUUUCAAAGUUUGUAGCUUCUUUGGGGUUAAUGGCUGCCGGGUAGUUUUGGUGGUGGGACACUGCCAAUUAUUUAACAAACAGGGAGUCCCGACUGUCGUUUGUGAUUCGGACCCAGGCCUCUUUCCGAAUCACCACGUUUUCUCCCAAGGUAAUCUGAAAGUCCCAUACAUAAACAAUAAAAAACAUUAGAUUGUAAGAAAUCCUUAAAAUAGAGGUAUCAUACUAACCAAUGCAUACAGAUGCAGUUGUUUACUUAUAUAUACAGUGUCAUUCUGUUUUUUGGCAAUGUAUAACUGAAUAUAUUAUAAAAAACCCUGUCCCCAAUCCCCAAUCAUUGGCGGCAGUCUCUCAUCAAGACGGGACAGCUCCGGUGUCACCUUUGCAUUUACUUUGAUGUCAGACCAUUUUUUCUUUAUUUCGGCCACGGUCCGAGGUUGUGAGGCUGCAGCGUUCACGCCCUCUGCAACCUUUUGCCACUCGAGGGCCUUUUUGGCAUUAGUAAUGCCCAUACUGUGCCCUCCAAAAAGCAUUUGACUUCUCCUUUACACCUCCCAAUUAUCGUUUCGACUUCACACUUUCCUCUGUGUUUGCCAUGAUUUCGCAAUCGAUGAAUAUUAAUUUGUGGGUGUUCCACAGACUAUAUAUUGGCAACUGUGGGCGUGACAUGAAGCCGCAAAAGCUGCGCUGCAUUUAGAAUCGAUUGUGAUUUAUUAAGGGAAAAUUGCGUAGGACGUGCGUGCGCACGGUUUUAUAAGUCUGAAUAUUUCUGUACGUACGCACGUCAGUGCCUGGUUUCCUCGAGACAUGACGCUUGGCAUUCAGGCCAAAGAGUUCAAUCUUUGUUUCAUCAGACCAGAGAAUUUUGUUUCUCAUGAUCUGAGAGUCCUUCAGGCGGGAUGUCAUGUGCUUUUUACUGAGGAGUGGCUUGCGUCUGGCCACUCCACCAAACAGGCCUGAUUUGUCACAUGUCUUCACAUGUCACAUGCACGUACACUUGUCACUUUCUGUUCGCUGGUGCGCUUUACUCUUGACCUUUUAUUUUUAAUUUAAAUUUCUUCCUAAAUUCCUCCUCCUGCACUAUAGUUGUUCUUGCACUAUGUUGUCUUAUCUGUUUUGUUGUCUAUUGUCUUGUCUGAUGUUAUGCACCAACCGCCAUGUCAAAUUCCUUGUAUGUCUAACAUGUCUUGGUAAUAAAUGUUCCUGAUUAGUAUACUAUUAGCCAUUGUUAGCUCAACUGGUCCAGUUUAGCAAAUAGUUGCAAAGGGAAAAAGAUGCCAUCAACAACAUAGCGACAACACGUUCUCAACACCCAAGACGGCAAAUACAGACUUGCGUUCUUGGGAGAAUAGACCCAGGAGACAAACUCGGGAGUCAAAACUUACGUGAACGGUCAUUUGUGUAAUUUGUGUAUAUCUAACUUAUAUUCAUAUUGGAUGGAAGAAACAUAUAGAAACGUUACUUAGGUACACAUUUAAGGGCUGUUGUAGUACAUCACCCUGCAUUAGCUUUACAAAAGGUUUCCUAAAGUAAAGAGGAGGUUGGAUACAGUAACAACAAUUAAUCAGUUAACAUUUUAUGAUUGUGCUACAUUGCACAUAAACACCUACCAUUUGUCUUUGUUACUAAAACAUCAAUAGGACGAUAAUCAGUGUGGUAGUUCUCGUCCAGUUCAAUGCCCAAACAUCACUAUAGAUUACAUUUUAAAUGUACCUGAACAUCAUAUGUGUCUACAUCAAUAAUGAUGCGUGAUCAUUGACGCUAGGUGAUAUUGUUAGUGAUUUAACAUAGUAUUUAAUCUAUGAUACAGUGAUCAUGGAAGCUGCAGUUAUAAAAAAAAUAUUGUAUUGGCGAACAAUGAAACAAAUAUAAAUAGUUUCAAGAAUAUGCAAGCGGCUGACCGUACAUGAAAGAUCUUACAGAGAAAUAUUCAAUAAAUCCAUCCAUCCAUCAUCAAACUGCUUAUCCUGCACACAGGGUCGCGGGAGGGUUGGAGUCUAUCCCAGCCAACUUUGGGCAAGAGACAGGGUACACCCUGGACAGCCAAUCGCAGGGCUGACACAGAGACAAACGACCAUUCACACACCUAUGGGACCUAGGGCAAUUUAGGGUCCCCACUUAACCUACUUCCCAGAGCAUGUCUUUGGACUGUGGGAGGAAGCUGGAGUACCCGGAGAGAAUCCAUGCAGACACGGGGAGAACAUGCAGACUACACACAGAAAGGCCACUGGGCGGAGUCAAACCCAGGACCUUCUUGCUGUGAGGCAACACCGUGGCGCACUAUUCAAUAAAUCAUAUUUGGAAAAUGUUUUAUUAUUACAAUUCAGAAUCCUUUUGAAGCUGAUCUGCUGCCGAGAACAUCCUGCUCACUGCGGGGUGAGAUGAGCUGGGGAGGUCUGACGGUCCUGUUAACUACACCUCACAUCUCAGAAAUAGUCAGCGGUAAUUGUUAAGAAGGCUCAAAGUUGACAAACUGACCACAGAAAUAUUGCUAAACAACUAACUUCUUGUUUGGAAACGUCUUAAAAUUACAUUUUGUGAGAUCAGUGCAAGCCAUCCAGUAGGGUAAUGACCAAGAAUGUUUGGAAUUAAAACCAGGAAUGCCCUCCACAAAAUGUGAAUCCUACCGUCCCAUCUCCCCAAUCGACAAUGAUUCAAAAAUAAUAGCAAAAUCACGUGCCAGAAGGUUUGAGAAACAUUCGCCUAACUAUUAGAGGAAGACCGGGCUCUCAUAAUAUUCAUAGAUUGAUGAAUGUCAUACAUGCCAAGAAAGAAAUACCCGAUGCGGCAGUUAUAGGACUCCAUGCGGAGAAGGUAUUUGAUAGGGUCGAGCAUGAAUAUCUCUUUGAAGUGCUUAGCCGCUUUGUAGGGUAAGCAACUACUUCCUUCGCUGAAUCAAACUCCUAUAUCAUGACUCAAAUGCUUCAGUCAUGACCAACUAUAUAGUAUCAAAACAGCUCUCACUUUGAAGAGGCACCAGACAAGGAUGUCCCUUAAUUUGUCCUGGCCAUCGAACCAUUAGCAAUUAGAGUCAAUAGUGAGAUAACUGAUAUCACAAUUAAUGAUACUGACAAUAAAAAAGGAUUAUUUGCCAAUUAUGUAGUGCUGUUUCUUACAAUCUAUACUUUCUUUGUUAAAUCUAACAUAUGGUAAUUUCUUAGGUUAUAAGAACAACAUCAGAUAGUUCUACAGUGCCUCACCGAGAAACUUACAGGAGAAGACUUUCUUGUAACCCUGUAGCCUAUACGUUUAGGGAGCUUUCUAGUUCUGGGGUAUAAUAAGUAUCUAUCUCUGCAUGCACAUAUCAACCACCCUCCACUGCUGAGUUUUUGUUUCUGUCUCUGCUGAGAAACAGUCAGUGAUGCUAAACAACAAAUCAUGCCACUGCUAUUUAUACUUGUUCAUAUUUACUGUGCCUUGUUUUGUUUUUGUUUCUUUGUUGUUUGUGUAAUGUGGAGAAAACAAUAAAAAUAUUUGUAAAAAAAAAGCUGUACAAAUUAUAGUAUCACAGGCUUCACGCAUUUAUUUUGUUUUGUACUUUUAAACAUAAUUUGUUGCAAACUUGGUAGUCUAUUUGUAAAUGAAGUUUUAACUUUCAUGGACACUCACACUUCUUCCAUAAAUUUCUCAAAAUAUAUUAAUAAAAGUAAUAUAUACAAAAGAUGCCACCAUGAGGCAUGUUUGGAUGGGAUCAGAUUGAGAUGGAUAAACAUACAAAAUAUAUAACUUCAGUGCGAUGCUUUUUUACUUCCUAAUUAUUGAUCACAUGGUAAAACAAUUACUGUUACUGGCAUCCUCUUAAAGUGAUAAGAGGUUUAUAAUACAGUAACUUAAUCAACAGAAAAGGUCACAACAUGGUUACUUUUCUACAAUGACUUGACAAUUAACUAAAUUGUCCAUUUGUUUCUUCCAAAUAUUUUCAAAAGCAGACUUUGUUUCUGAUUUUUUAAUCUUUCGAAUAAUAACUAACAUUUAUGUGAGCUAAAUUACAUGGCCCGUGUUGUCUUCAAAAAUGAAGAAACUCUGGACAGACAGAAGACAUCUUGUGUGUUGUUCCUUUUCCAUUACAAGAGCAAGAACAUCUGACAAAGCUUAUUAGUGCAAAAUGGAGCUCCACUGAUCAAUAAAAGAACACAUCUGUUCCAGGUAUAAAAACACCUACUGCGGAUUAGUUUAGGUCACAGGGUUCCCAAGACAGUUCACACCCCGAGUUCUGGAAUGCCUCACCGUACGCGGAUCAAUAAAUUUGCCACUAACAUCGAUCAUUUCCCCGUGGGUUUAGUCGGAUCCAAUAGGAUUAGACUAUUCGUAGACGUGGUUGAAACAGACAAAUCGGCGUACCACAGCCAGACUUUCAACACUGCUGUUUUGCCUUCGCGUCAUUUCUGUGGACGGACAAUUGCAUUCAAACCCGGAUUUACCGGGCCAUUGAUCUUGGCUGGUGGCCGACCGAGUCCGACAAUGCACUCACCAGCUCUCCGCCUCAAAUGGUGGGUUCAUGUCCCAGCGUCAGGGUUUUUAAAGACAGUUCAUCUUCGAUUUAGCCAUUUUAUUGUGCCUUUCAUGAGGGGAUUUUAGGACCCACUCUAGCUUUUGGACGUAUUUGAGGUGGCUGAGCCGCAUCUGUACUAAGUUUAGCUGAGUUAUACUCAGAAUGUAUAUGGGUGGUUGUUUUAGUAUUGUAUAUUCCAUGUUAUUUGUGCCCGCUGUUUUUUUGUAGUGUAUUGUUUUUUGAUAGUGGAACCAUGUCUCUUGCGACUCUGUACAAACAGAUCUAAGUGUCUAAAGAUUCAUUACUGUGUGGGCAAGAUUUAAUCCUCCCUAAAGUGGCGUUGCUGGUACCUGACAAUUUGUCCAACUCCAAGUAAUGGUAAACCAGAUAGCAUCCAUCUAAAUCUCCCGAUUGCCACACCUGGGUCACAUUAAGGGAGGGUUAAGGUUGUUUUCCUACUGAAAUACCUUUGUUCAGGGAUGUCUUGUGGUUUGACAACACAAACCUCUCUGAUUGUAUAUUGUGUGUGUAUUACGCUUCUAUUCUCCCCAAGAUCAGAUCUUCUUGCUCCUCUGAGGGUGAAAAAACACUGAGUCAUUGAACUUCUGUCUGUACUAACGGCUUGUGUUGAUGAUUUUUAUAUUCUUGUUAGUAAAAAAUACUUAAAUCACAAACAAGUUUAAGAUACUUUUGAUUUCUCUCAAAGGCUUAAUCCAUUCAUUUCCACCACAGUUAGCAAUUGAAAAAAACUGUAAAGGGCUCUCAGUUCUCUCUGCUCCUGUUCUUGUGUCUAAUCACAAAGCUGGACAAGGAGAGAAAGAGGCAGAGCGUGUCUCCAUCAUUGUAUCACCUUCCCCUCAAUAGCCAAGCAAAUAAAGAUCACAGUUGUGUGCCAGGAACUUUACAACUGCUUAACCCAUUGUGUGUGGGAGGCCUCUAAGAAAGCUAAAACUGCAGCAAGAGAUCAAGGAAAGGGAGUGAGAAAUGCAAGACUAGCGUGUGUGUGUGUGUGUGCGGGAGAGAGAGCGGCAGAGAAAUGGUGUGUGUGUGUUUUUGUAAGUAAAGCAGAUUGAUGUAACUGGGUUUCUGUCCAUCACUCAUGUUGCCUGCUCUCUUCAGUGGGGUAGUGCUCUCUCAUACACACCAUGUGAGCUCAGCACUUUUUCGUUUUGGCCACCCCCCGCCUAUAUAUCAGUUUGCUAAGAAGUACCCUCAGGACCCCACAAGAUACAAGGCUAACGCGCGCGCGCGCGCGCACACACACACACACACACACACACACACACACACACACAGGUUUGUCACAAUUCAUCACUCUAGCUAUGAAACAAUCCCACAGACCCUACACAUUAUAGAUGGAGAUAUAGCUGUGAGUAACACACACACAGCAUCAUAAGAUGCUAUCCAUCAAACAAGCUACCACCAUCCCUUAAAAUGUACUGUAGCUAGCACAGUGUGAGUUUGGGUGUGUGUCACAAUUUAUCAGCCAGCCUAUCCCAGGAAGCCAUAUUAUAAUUGCUAUUAAGGAAUAUAUGUAUAAAGAACUAGCGCAGUGUAGGAUAUUAGAAAUAAACUGACGACCUGGUUCAUAAAAUUAAUAAAAAUGCAUAUAGUGUACACCAGAAUACAGCCAUAAUUCUGAAACUGUGUAAUCAAUAAAGUAAUGACAAUAUUGUAAAACCACUGUAAUUCUGUAACUGUAAUAGAAUAAUACCAAUGUACAGUUGUGAAUGUAUUUGAUGUAAUGUAAUCAACUGGAAUGCAUGCAUGUAAUACUUGCACAGCAACUGAUAUUGACUAUGGGUCAUUUGAAAUCCGAGUAACAUUGAACUCACCAGAAGACCACUCCCAGAGGAGUGGACACUAACUUUCACACCUUUAAGCAUUGUUAUAAAUACCUGUAGGCACCAUUGUUCUCGAGUUCGCUGGUGGAGGCAGCAGACGGGCACUAGGGAUGGUCAAAAGGACUGACCUGGGGCCUGUGGGUUGCUGAGACCAGCGGCUCCUCAGCUGAGAUGUUCUUUUUACCACAACACCAUCUCUUUUAUUAAAUACAUAUGAUUUUAAGCUUUUGAUCUGCGAUGACCUCUGUCCGUCCGGUGUUUCUUCAUUUUUGAAUACAACAGCAGACUGAAAGCUAGUCCUAAAACAAAAAGGCUUCUUUCUGACUUUAUAUUUUCUUAAUCCGCAGUUUGGAUCAAAUCUUGAACAAACACAGAAAGAUACACCCUCACCCACAUUGCUUUCAAGCCCAUUUCACGCAGAUUUCCAUGGGUAUAGAGUUAUUACAGCAAAGUAGCUCAGUAGAGGCUAUGAUUUGGCAUCCAUUUAGCCCCUUUUAGCCCAUAUAGGAAGUAAAUGCAAUAGCAGAUUAAGAGAAAUUUGGUAUAAAUCUAGGACCAAAAAAAAAUUAAUUAAAUGUAACCUGCAAAACCUGUAUUAGUUCCAGGUGUUAUAAAUCUGUUUUCCCGACAUUUAAUCAGCUUUUUCUCUGCUGUAAAUCCAGAAGACAACAUGUUUAUUUGUCUGUACCUCAGUGUAAUUCUUCAUGUUUACUUGUCUGUAAUUUAAUAUAAUCUAUUUAGUAUAGACCAAAAUCACAAAUUUGAAUCUGAGAGGUUCACAGCCUGUACACACGAAUCAUCCUCUGUCCCAAAACCCUCCCAUCGACACAGAAAAAAAUAUUUAAAAAGGGGAAAAAAAUGGGAAACCUGAGGGAGAGCAACCUUGAAUGAUCCCUCUACCAGGAUGGAGCUUGAAAGAUAUAGAAUAUGUUCAAUGAAUAUGAUAUAUUCUGUACUAAAUAUUGAAAGCCACAUAAUUAUGAGUGACGAUUGUGACUAAUUGGUUGUUCUUUGUUUUAAGUAGAAUGUCAUAGUGUCUACCGUAAGUCUGAUAUGCCGGCAUGGCGCUGUGCGUUAAAGGUGAGGGUUGAGGCGGUAAACUCAGCAUUUGAGAAACCCCAGGGCCUGGGAGAACACGGCUUCCAUGGUUAGGGUAAGGUGAGGGUUUCUGUAUCUGAAACGGAUAGCAACGAUACAAGUGAACCGUGGUGAAGGGGACGCAACGAGUGCUGUGUGAAGGCUCUUUCCUUGAUAGACCUUUUGAGGAGUGAGGCUAUUUGGGGAGGAUUUGAGGCUGCAUCGGUAAGAGUUUGCAGAAGUUUAUACCACUAAGGUAGGUUUUGAUAGUUGGCGUUUCGAUGGCCAUCUCAGAAUGGGCAAAGGUGACGAAGCAUGUCACGGACAGCAGGUCGAAUCAGGAACAUUUAUUACCAAAAUACGUUAGACGCACAAGUCCCGGAGAGUAGGCAGAUUGCAUCCGAUCGCCCUUUCUGCAGAGCGGAGGACACGCUGCAGCCUGCCCUUGUCCUUGGUUGUGGCUGCAGCAUACGACGGUGAUGGAGGAGCAGAGGAUGGACUCAAUGUGUUAGAAGUGCACUGUCAUAGUCAUUGGCAGGUUGAAUCUCUUCAGCUGCCUCAGGAAGAACAGAGUGUGCUGAGCCUUCUUGGUGAUGAAGCUGAUCUGGUGCUGCUAGCUGGACAUGGCGUCUUAUUUGUCCCAACAUCCGCAACUGAAUCUGGGGACAGGAGCCAUACUAACAGAGCAUUGGAUGUCAGUGGUUUGAAUGGGAUAGUGUAACAGCUACAACAGCCUUUGCCUCUAAUAGUCCAGCCUUAUUGGCUAGUGGGAGCUGAACAUCAGCUUUUCUGCUGGAAUUUCCAGAGCUCUUUCACCAGAUAUGAGCUCAUGAACAUUCAGGGAACUCCAGAGGAGUUACUUCCAACAUUUCUUCUUUCUUUUGUGGAAUUACUGGACACCUUUACUCAUGCAGCAAAAUGCCGGAGGAGAGGAAACCUGGCCGGCUUGUUAGUGUGACUCCAAAAACGUGGUGCUCGCAAACCGCUGACAGGCAUCUUUCUCCCCAAGGUGCGUACACUCUCCAACAAAAUGGACGAAAUUUCACUUGCUGGUAAGGAGACGGAGACUUUUCUGCAUCCUCAAUUUUGUGCUUUAUGGAGACUGUGUGGACCAAUACGGCCUCCAGCUGCUCACCGCGACACAGUUCUCUGGCAAGACGAAGGGUGGAGGAAUUUGCUACUCCAACAUCAACUGGUGCAACGACGUAACCGAUUCCUCAACACUGUUCUCCUGAUGUGGAAUCUUUUUAUGGUCAACUGUAAACAGUUGACAGAGUAAAAAUACAGGUUUAGACUAGAAAAAUGCAUUUCCUGCUGAAAAUGCGUUGGAAUGCUAAAAGCUGAAAUGAACUUCUGAAUAUUGCUGAAAAUACACAGUUGAAGGGAAUUUUAAUACAUUUGCUGAAAUUACAGAUAUUAGAAAAGCUGAAAUUUAUUUGAAAUUGUUGAAAAUACAGAAAUGGGAGAAGCUGAAAGGAAUUUCAAUAAAUUUGCUGAAAAAGCAGAAAUGAAAAGAGAAUUUCUUUUUUUUCAGCUGAAUUUCAAUAGAUUUUCAAAAAAAUACAGAAGUGGCAGGAGCUUAAAUUAAUUUUUUAAAAAUACAGAAAUAACAUAAGCUGAGAUGAUUAAAAAGAGGUUUUAAAUUUGUU